CCUACGGGUGGCAGCAGUCGAGAAUCAUUCACAAUGGGGGAAACCCUGAUGGUGCGACGCCGCGUGGGGGAAUGAAGGUCUUCGGAUUGUAAACCCCUGUCAUAUGGGAGCAAAUUAAAAAGAUAGUACCACAAGAGGAAGAGACGGCUAACUCUGUGCCAGCAGCCGCGGUAAUACAGAGGUCUCAAGCGUUGUUCGGAAUCACUGGGCGUAAAGCGUGCGUAGGCUGUUUCGUAAGUCGUGUGUGAAAGGCGCGGGCUCAACCCGCGGACGGCACAUGAUACUGCGAGACUAGAGUAAGGGAGGGGGAACCGGAAUUCUCGGUGUAGCAGUGAAAUGCGUAGAUAUCGAGAGGAACACUCGUGGCGAAGGCGGGUUCCUGGACAUUAACUGACGCUGAGGCACGAAGGCCAGGGGAGCGAAAGGGAUUAGAUACCCGAGUAGUC
RNAcentral lists this ribosomal RNA (446 nucleotides) under uncultured bacterium. RNAcentral's name for it is "partial 16S ribosomal RNA". It matches the Rfam family "Bacterial small subunit ribosomal RNA", at positions 338 to 795 of the family's 1533-position model. The record is from RNAcentral.